Molecule: ribosomal RNA, 567 nt
Filed under: uncultured bacterium
Lineage: Bacteria
Description: bacterial SSU rRNA
Rfam family: Bacterial small subunit ribosomal RNA
Source: RNAcentral
CCUAUGCAUGCAAGUCGUACGCACGCGCUUCGGCGCGUGAGUGGCGCACGGCUGAGUAACACGUGGGAACCCGCCCUCCGGUGGGGGAUAACGCGACGAAAGUCGCGCUAAUCCCGCAUACGUCCGCAAGGGGAAAGCGCUUCGGCGCGCCGGAGGAGGGGCCUGCGGCCCAUCAGGUGGUUGGUGGGGUAACGGCCUACCAAGCCGAUGACGGGUAGCUGGUCUGGGAGGAUGACCAGCCAGACUGGGACUGAGACACGGCCCAGACUCCUACGGGAGGCAGCAGCAAGGAAUUUUCGGCAAUGGGCGCAAGCCUGACCGAGCAACGCCGCGUGCGGGAUGACGGCCUUCGGGUUGUAAACCGCUUUUCGGGGGGACGACUACGACGGUACCCCCGGAAGAAGCCCCGGCUAACUCUGUGCCAGCAGCCGCGGUAAGACAGAGGGGGCGAGCGUUGUCCGGAGUUACUGGGCGUAAAGCGCGCGCAGGCGGUGGUCUCAGUGUCGUGUGAAAGCCCCCGGCUCAACCGGGGGAGGUCAUGGCAAACUAGACGACUGGAGCGGCGGA